CGACGUAAAGAACUGCCUCACAGCUAGGGACAACAUUUAGAAAUGAAUGCUAAUACCUGAUAUUAUGAUUUUAAGGCAUCUUAGAAUUAUGAAAGCUAUAAGCACUGUGAGAGAGCUUUGCGUCCCAUUAGCUAGUUGGAGAGGUAACAGCUCACCAAGGCGAUGAUGGGUAGCCGGCCUGAGAGGGUGAACGGCCACAAGGGGACUGAGACACGGCCCUU
RNAcentral lists this ribosomal RNA (221 nucleotides) under uncultured bacterium. RNAcentral's name for it is "partial 16S ribosomal RNA". It matches the Rfam family "Bacterial small subunit ribosomal RNA", at positions 113 to 334 of the family's 1533-position model. The record is from RNAcentral.